AUAGCAUAUAUUAAAGUUGCUGCGGUUAAAAAGCUCGUAGUUGGAUCUGGGUAGUCGAUGGACGGUGCGCCUCACGGCGUCUACUGUUCGUUCGGCACCACAUGCCGGCCAUGUCUUGCAUGCUCUUCACUGAGUGUGCUUGGCGACCGGAACGUUUACUUUGAAAAAAUUAGAGUGCUCAAAGCAGGCGUUAAGCCUUGCAUAAUGGUGCAUGGAAUAAUGGAAUAGGACCUCGGUUCUAUUUUGUUGGUUUUCGGAGCUCGAGGUAAUGAUUAACAGGAACAGACGGGGACAUUCGUAUUGCGGCGUUAGAGGUGAAAUUCUUGGAUCGUCGCAAGACGCACUACUG
RNAcentral lists this ribosomal RNA (349 nucleotides) under Acutuncus sp. PC-2013. RNAcentral describes it as "SSU rRNA". It matches the Rfam family "Eukaryotic small subunit ribosomal RNA", at positions 594 to 945 of the family's 1831-position model. Lineage: Eukaryota; Metazoa; Tardigrada; Eutardigrada; Parachela; Hypsibiidae. The record is from RNAcentral.